Molecule: ribosomal RNA, 940 nt
Filed under: uncultured eukaryote
Lineage: Eukaryota
Description: SSU rRNA
Rfam family: Eukaryotic small subunit ribosomal RNA
Source: RNAcentral
GGGCUCUUUUGGGUCCUAUAAUUGGAAUGAGUACAAUUUAAAUCCCUUAACGAGGAUCAAUUGGAGGGCAAGUCUGGUGCCAGCAGCCGCGGUAAUUCCAGCUCCAAUAGCGUAUAUUAAAGUUGUUGCCGUUAAAAAGCUCGUAGUCGAACUUCGGCCUCUGCCGCCCGGUCCGCCUAAUUGGGUGUGUACUGGAGCGGUGGAGGCUUACCUCGUGGUGAACGGCCAUGCCCUUUACUGGGUGUGGUCGGGAACCAUGACCUUUACUGUGAAAAAAUUAGAGUGUUCAAAGCAGGCUUACGCCCGAAUACAUUAGCAUGGAAUAAUAAAAUAGGACGUGCGGUCCUAUUUUGUUGGUUUCUAGGAUCGCCGUAAUGAUUAAUAGGGAUAGUUGGGGGCAUUCGUAUUCAAUUGUCAGAGGUGAAAUUCUUGGAUUUAUUGAAGACGAACUACUGCGAAAGCAUUUGCCAAGGAUGUUUUCAUUGAUCAAGAACGAAGGUUAGGGGAUCGAAAACGAUCAGAUACCGUUGUAGUCUUAACAGUAAACGAUGCCGACUAGGGAUCGGAUGAGGCUUUUAAUGACUCAUUCGGCACCUGAAGAGAAAUCUUUAAGUCAGGUUCGGGGGGGAGUAUGGUCGCAAGGCUGAAACUUAAAGGAAUUGACGGAAGGGCACCACCAGGUGUGGAGCCUGCGGCUUAAUUUGACUCAACACGGGGAAACUCACCAGGUCCAGACACGACAAGGAUUGACAGAUUGAUAGCUCUUUCUUGAUUUCGUGGUUGGUGGUGCAUGGCCGUUCUUAGUUGGUGGAGUGAUUUGUCUGGUUAAUUCCGAUAACGAACGAGACCUUAACCUGCUAAAUAGCCCGGCCGACUUUGGUUGGUCGCUGGCUUCUUAGAGGGACUAUCGACGUCUAGUCGAUGGAAGUUUGAGGCAAUA